This is a long non-coding RNA of Pezoporus occidentalis (night parrot), 592 nucleotides long. RefSeq lists it as uncharacterized. The record is from RefSeq and is a predicted model, not a curated record. NCBI's taxonomy places the organism in Eukaryota, Metazoa, Chordata, Aves, Psittaciformes, Psittacidae. The transcript is spliced from 2 exons.
CCAUGUGUUGGAGUCUGCCACAGCAAGAUGAAAGAUGCAGCUGUGCAACACAUCUUCCUGGUCCGUACACUGGACAGCUGCACACAGCAAUAGGGACUACCCACUGCAUGCUGAAGUUUUACGUUCCUAAAAAGUCCCCACCAUCAAGGGAGGCUAUCACUUUGUAAGGACAAGUGAAGGCAGCAUGUGACAAAGCAGAUGCAAACUAUUUGUCCUUGUGGAGACUCUGCCUUUGUUCCCCUUCAUCUUGCAGUUUCUCUUAAUCUAAACUAAAAGCCUUUCAGCUUGCAUAUGUGACUCUCCUCAGGACUGAAACAAUGUGUGUAUGUGGGCUGAAAAGGAGACGAGAUAGAUGAGGUAAGAAAAAUGCCAAAGUGUUUAAAAAUGCUAAAACCUGGAAUGUAUUCCCAGAAUUUUUUGUCACAUCUAGUGGAAGAUUUGUUAACAGUGUAUUUAUAUUUAUACAUGCAUACAUACAUACAUACAUAAACAUCUAGGCUGUAUGUAUUGAUUCAAUAAUUACUUAGAAAAGUAAUUGGCUCCUAGACCUGCCAGAUCAAAAAAGAAAAAGAAAAAGAAAAAGAAAAAAACA